UACCAGCACCCCGAGUGGUCGGGACGAUUAUUGGGCCUAAAGCAUCCGUAGCCGGUCCUACAAGUCUUCCGUUAAAUCCACCUGCUUAACAGAUGGGCUGCGGAAGAUACUAUAGGGCUAGGAGGCGGGAGAGGCAAGCGGUACUCAGUGGGUAGGGGUAAAAUCCUCUGAUCCAUUGAAGACCACCAGUGGCGAAGGCGGCUUGCCAGAACGAGAUUGACGGUGAGGUAUGAAAGCUGGGGGAGCAAACCGG
RNAcentral lists this ribosomal RNA (253 nucleotides) under uncultured bacterium. RNAcentral describes it as "partial 16S ribosomal RNA". It matches the Rfam family "Archaeal small subunit ribosomal RNA", at positions 474 to 727 of the family's 1478-position model. The record is from RNAcentral.